AUUGAACGCUGGCGGAAUGCUUUACACAUGCAAGUCGAACGGCAGCACGGACUUUGGUCUGGUGGCGAGUGGCGAACGGGUGAGUAAUAUAUCGGAACGUGCCCAGUCGUGGGGGAUAACGUAGUGAAAAUUACGCUAAUACCGCAUACGAUCUACGGAUGAAAGCGGGGGAUCUUCGGACCUCGCGCGAAUGGAGCGGCCGAUGGCAGAUUAGGUAGUUGGUAGGGUAAAAGCCUACCAAGCCGACGAUCUGUAGCUGGUCUGAGAGGACGACCAGCCACACUGGGACUGAGACACGGCCCAGACUCCUACGGGAGGCAGCAGUGGGGAAUUUUGGACAAUGGACGCAAGUCUGAUCCAGCCAUUCCGCGUGCAGGAUGAAGGCCCUCGGGUUGUAAACUGCUUUUGUACGGAACGAAAAGGUUUCUAUUAAUACUAGGAGCUCAUGACGGUACCGUAAGAAUAAGCACCGGCUAACUACGUG
RNAcentral lists this ribosomal RNA (484 nucleotides) under uncultured bacterium. RNAcentral's name for it is "bacterial SSU rRNA". It matches the Rfam family "Bacterial small subunit ribosomal RNA", at positions 30 to 507 of the family's 1533-position model. The record is from RNAcentral.